CCUACGGGAGGCAGCAGUGGGGAAUAUUGGACAAUGGGGGGAACCCUGAUCCAGCGACGCCGCGUGAGUGAAGAAGUAUUUCGGUAUGUAAAGCUCUAUCAGCAGGGAAGAAAGAAAUGACGGUACCUGACUAAGAAGCCCCGGCUAACUACGGGCCAGCAGCCGCGGUAAUACGUAGGGGGCAAGCGUUAUCCGGAUUUACUGGGUGUAAAGGGAGCGUAGGUGGCGGUGCAAGUCGUAAGGGAAAGGCGGGGGCCCAACCCCUGGACUGCUUUGGAAACUGUAUGGCUGGAGUGCAGGGGAGGUAAGUGGAAUUCCUAGUGUAGCGGUGAAAUGCGUAGAUAUUAGGAGGAACACCAGUGGCGAAGGCGGCUUACUGGACUGUAACUGACGUUGAGGCUCGAAAGCGUGGGGAGCAAACAGGAUUAGAUACCCCAGUAGUC
This 443-nucleotide ribosomal RNA is filed under the name uncultured bacterium. RNAcentral describes it as "partial 16S ribosomal RNA". It matches the Rfam family "Bacterial small subunit ribosomal RNA", at positions 338 to 795 of the family's 1533-position model. The record is from RNAcentral.